GUUGACUAACCUUUUAAGAGUUUCCCCUAUGUUAAUGAUACAGAGAAGAUUAGCAUGGAUCCUGCACAAGGAUGACAUGCAAAUUGGUGAAGUGUUCCAUAUUUUU
Molecule: small nuclear RNA, 106 nt
Organism: Lontra canadensis (Northern American river otter)
Lineage: Eukaryota; Metazoa; Chordata; Mammalia; Carnivora; Mustelidae
Source: RefSeq, a predicted model, not a curated record